UAGGGAAUAUUGGACAAUGGGGGCAACCCUGAUCCAGGCAUGCCGCGUGUGUGAAGAAGGCCUUAGGGUUGUAAAGCACUUUAAGUGAGGAAGAAAAGAUUUAAAUUAAUACUUUAAGUCCCUGACAUUACUCACAGAAUAAGGACCGGCUAACUCCGUGCCAGCAGCCGCGGUAAUACGGAGGGUCCAAGCGUUAAUCGGAAUUACUGGGCGUAAAGCGCGCGUAGAUGGUUUAUUCAGUUGGGUGUGAAAUCCCUGGGCUCAACCUAGGAACUGCAUUCAAAACUUAUAAACUAGAGUACGAAAGAGGAGAGUAGAAUUCAUGGUGUAGCGGUGAAAUGCGUAGAGAUCAUGAGGAAUACCAGUGGCGAAGGCGACUCUCUGGUUCGAGACUGACAUUGAGGUGCGAAAGCGUGGGUAGCAAACAGG
Molecule: ribosomal RNA, 429 nt
Filed under: uncultured bacterium
Lineage: Bacteria
Also listed under: 2 other names
Description: bacterial SSU rRNA
Rfam family: Bacterial small subunit ribosomal RNA
Source: RNAcentral